GCAACUUCAUUCAUAAUUUCCAAAAUAUUACAAGUUUAUAGAUUCAUUAAGAACAUGUUUAGCAAAUACCAACAUUUCUAGUUCAGUUCCCAAUAUCAAGCACCACCCACAACUAGUCUACACAACCUCUAAAUACAACUGGAGAGUAAUAUGGAAAUACCAUCAAUAAGGCUCUGGUUAUACCUCAAAAUACAAAGUACAUGAGAAACACAAGAUACAGGAUCCCGAAAUGAAGUAGGGCUCACCAAGUCAGCUGGAAAGAGUGCACCGCUAUCACUGAUCGAUGCCGCCUACAAUGGGACCACCUAUAUCAAUUAAAGAUACAGCACCCCUGGUAAAAGAGAUGCUAGUGCCGUUGAAUAGCACUAAUAUGUAUAGCUAGAAGUCCUCAUACAAAAUAGAAUAACCACAUAAAAAAGGAAAUCAUAGUACGUCAAACUGCUAUAAAAUGUCCCAUAGAUUUACAUUUCAGGUAUUUAUUAUACUUACCUCACUUUGAACUUCAUUGGGGUCAAUUCAACCAUAUGAACUAUACGUGGGAUACAAAAUAUAAUGUAAUCAUAACAACAUGUAUAAGAAAGGGAAAUGAAAUAAAAACCACCUACCGUUUGUGUAAAAUAGGCAUCUCACUAAACCGUUCGGCCCUUUCUUAUUAUGCACAUAUACGUUUUAUAGACCAUUUGUAAGGUUCACAUAUUAUAUUAUACACCUAUGCGUUUCAUAUCCCAUUAGGGUUCACAUAUCAUAUUAUACACCUAUGCGUUUCAUAGCCCGUUAUAGGGUUCACAUAUUAAAUUAUACACCUAUGCAUUUCAUAGCCCGUCCAUAGGGUUCACAUAUUAUAUUAUACACCUACGCAUUUCAUUGUUCGUCCAUAGGGUUAGCAUAUUAUAUUAUACAUCUAUGCAUUUCAUAGCCCAUCCAUAGGGUUCACAUAUUAUAUUAUACACCUAUGCGUUUCAUAGUCCGUCCAUAGGGUUCACAUAUUAUAUUAUACACCUAUGUGUUUCAUAGCCCAUCCAUAGUGUUCACAUAUUAUACACUAUAAACCUUUUAUAUUGUACUUAGUUUCAUUUGUACCUUUAGCUACUCACAACAUCAUUAAUUUAUUUGCUCUUUUGGCCAUUCAUACGAUUCUUUUUUCAUGGCACAAUGACCGUAUUUCAUAUUCCACACUUUAAUUUCUUUCCUCUCAUGGAUCGUCAUCAUAAUUUUCAACAUAUAUAAUAUAUUUCAGAAAUCACAACCUUAAGUUCAUUAGAAAUGAAGACUUAAACACAAUAGAUUUCUUUCCAAUAAAUAGAGUAAAAUGAUUAGCAAUCAAAGCACAAGUUAAAAUCAUAGACAAGUAACACCAUUUAAUUCUUGAACUACUUUCCCCCAAGAGGGCGACACACAAUUUCAACUCAUGAAUAUGUAAGAGCUCAAAACACGUUGGGAAAACUUACAAGAUUUAUCAUUAGUUAACACAACCACAAUUUUGGGCAUGACUUGAGUAUAUAAGAUUUUAGGCAAAUCCACAUCCGAAAUCAUUUAUAAACACUUGAAUCAAGGCUUACUCUAUAACCUUUCUCACAUUAAUCAUUUCAUUUCAUCGGCACCGUUGGCCACCCUCCAUAUCCACAAUUCACUUAUUUAACUUCCAAACAACUUUAUAUUUUAACACCAAUACAUUUCCAAUCAAGACUUUAGGUAUACAUAUGAGCAAUUAUGAGUCUUAAGCAUAUCAAAUUUUCUCACACAAUUUGGCAUACUAGCCUUUAUUUGAAACACGACGCAAAGCCGUAACAUUUUAAUACACAAUCCAUACUUUGAUCAUAUAUCUUCAUUCAUAAGGAUAAUUUGGAAUAGUCAAGUUUAUAGGUAAUAACCCGGAAUAUAGAAAUUAGGAAUUUUGAGCCAACCAAACUUGAACUUAUGGAAACAUUUAUGGAAUUCGAUUCUAAGAGAGAAAGUUUAGCCAACAUACCUUGUUUAAGACUUCCUUAAGUUACUACAACGUUCAGGAAAUUCUAGAAAUCCCAAACUACUUUGAGACAUAACAAAAUUGAACACAAAUUAGGGAGAUAUUCAUGGUUUCAUCUCAUUUGAGAUUUUUAUCAAACACUAGUUGUGCAUCUUGAUUUCAAAGCUCUUCUACAAGAUUUCCUUCAUUCCCCAACACAAUCUUUACCUAUUUGUGUUCAACAAUCUUCCCACAAAUAUAAUUUGUACAUGCAUGCAUAGAUAAUACUAUUACACCCAAGAAUCAUACCUCAAUAACCUAUCUUAUACCCAAAACUCAAAAUUAAAGUCUAGUGUAUAGAACCUUACCUCUUAGAUGAAGAUCUUGUGAUUGGUUUCCUUGAUUAUUGAAGAUUGAUGAAAGAUUGAAUGGUUAUAAUGUUAGGCUUCUUCCUUCUCGCUCUAAAAUGCUCUCACCUCUCUCUAGAUUUAGUAUAAAUUAGCCGCAAAUGAAGCCCCAAAGUUUAUUUAUCAAUGUGUUUUCGGACAUGAAAAUUUCAAAAAAUAAACCCCGAAGUCAAUUAUGUGGUGCAAUUAUGCUAUAGCAUAAUCGAUAUGUGGGCAACAGACUUGCAACAUAAUCAUUAUGUGAUAGCAUAAUCGACAACUUAAUCAAUUAUGCGACAGCAUAAUCAAUAUGUGAUAACAUAAUAUUUUUGCCCGCCUCUGCUUCACUAUACUUCACUAUGACUUAUACAUUUAUUUACCAAAUCCAAUUGAUGUCCAUCAUGUUAAUAGCACGUAAAAUAUUAUAAUUAGCCUACCUAGCACCAUGAAAUCCUAAAUUACUUAGCGAAAUUUUCUGGGGCCUUACAAUUCUACAAAGCAUGAAAAUUUCCAAAAAUAAACCCCGGAGUCAAUUAUGUGGUGCAAUUAUGCUAUAGCAUAAUUGAUAUGUGGGCAGCAGACUUGCAACAUAAUCAUUAUGUGAUAGCAUAAUCGACAACAUAAUCAAUUAUGCGACAGCAUAAUCAAUAUGCGAUAACAUAAUAUUUUUGCCCGCCUCUGCUUCACUAUACUUCACUAUGACUUAUACAUUUAUUUACCAAAUCCAAUUGAUGUCCAUCAUGUUAAUAGCACGUAAAAUAUUAUAAUUAGCCUACCUAGCACCAUGAAAUCCUAAAUUACUUAGCGAAAUUUUCCGGGGCCUUACAAUUCUAUAAAGCGUAACAUCAUUGUAAUGAAAUACUGCAAGGUGUAACAUCAUUCCCCCUUUGGAAUAUUCGUCCUCGAAUGUUGGCUGAUGCUUUUAUCAUUUUCAUAAUUUAUAGCUCCUGUGAAUACCUCAAUACUCUCCUUUCCAUUUAGGCAGUUGUUCUGUAAAUAAAUCCAAAGGCCAGGGCAUUCCCACCUUUGGGCCUCUUUCCUACACCAUGACUUGUGAUCGAAUUCCUUUAAAUCUCAUAACUGUUGAUAUCUUCUAUCAUGUAGUCUGUAUGACAUUUUCCCUGUAAGUGCGCCUACAUGACUCUUUUGUCCUUUUUUUCCUCAAGCUUUUUGCCAAUCUCUAGGCCUCACUUUGUAAACAUAUAUAGAGCUUAAUAAGAUGUCCUUCUGGGCAUCUAUAAGCAUACUGAAGUUCUUCCCUCGGUACUUUGUCGAACAUACGAAUAAUGUUAUAUCUUAUUUCAUAGAACUGGUUAUCCAUCUGUAUGACUUUACUGCAUCAAGGUAGGUCAUAUUAUACUAUAACUCUUACUUCGUAUUAUCGUUACUCAGGUCUGCUACAAAACUUCAAGCUACUUUUAUUGCUCCUUAUCAUAGAUGUAUAAUCUAUGUCCUUUAAUACUUCUUUAUUACUAUUCAUCUUAAGAAUGACGGCCUAAUCUUACCUCAUACUUGGUGACUAUUUGUCCAUCCAUUGUCGAUUCACCUUAAUAUUGAUGUAUCAUCUAUCACUGAUAACUUGAUCUCUUAUUUAACAUUUCUACUAGGGGUUACGUCUCAUCGUGUCAUUUGAAGUGAUUGUCUUGAUCCACCUGGGGGCGAUACGAUACUAUACUUCCAUAAUCGUAUUUCAUAGCAUUACAAUGUGAUUUACCUUACAUGGUUAUUUAAUUCCUGUACAAUUCAUGAAAUCAUUACUUAAUCGAAGGCCCAAACGUCAUCCUUCAUCUAUCACAGUUACACCUUCAUUCUAUUGCCAGGGUAGCAUUCUAUCUCUUCCAAAGGCCACUAGUCUUAGACUCAUUUAGGCAAUACUGAACUUUUUAUAACUUAGAGAAACCAUCAGCUCUCUGGUUUUCAUGUAUUUAGUCAUGAGGUCUUAUGCCUUCUCAUCACCUUCUCACUUGCCCUUUCUUAUCCUUACUCCUAUCUUCUUAAAACCUUGUUGCUUUACCAUACUUUAGCUUGCGACCUACAUAUUCAUUUAUACUACUUGCAACCUUUCUUCAACUUGCUUGCACCAUAGAUUUCCUUAUGUUAUUCUGGAACAUCAAGCAAGACAUCACAUCAUCUCAAACUCUUCUUUUACUUUCUUAACUAGAUCUCUCGAUACCUAGAAACCAUAGGCUGAAAGAUAUGCUACUGACAAUGCUGCUAUCAUUCCUGGAUAUUGAAUCCCCACACUUUUAGCUUUUAAUCCAAAGUAUGGACUAUUCACAACCUUCUGCAUUUUAGUAUUUCGUACGUUGUUCACCUUUACUUACAACCUUAAAAUCUUGCAUCGUACCUUCUAUCUCUUUCAUGAACACCUUUCUACAUAAGUAUAAUUUAUGUCUAUAACUUGAAGCUCUAUUAUAAUACUUGCACCUCUGGUGCAUACACUAUCCGGUGAGCUCCGUACUGACUCCUUAUGAGGCUGUUACUUUUCCAACUAGCUUUAGCAUAGGGACAUUAUAUAAUAUGGCUAUUGUACUUUCUCUUUUGUAUCUCUGAAUUAAGAGUGAUCCUGCAAUGUUCUCAAUCAUGAUGUUCAUAAUUUCUUGGGUCCAAUAAUCAAUCUACUAAUUUACUUAGUUGAUGUAUCUCCUUAGUUUCCUCUUUCCUAUAGUCAAUCUUUAUGUAGGCUUAAACUACUAUCCGAUCUUUGGCUCCUGGUAUUAGUUAUCACUUUAGCCUUUCAUGGGCAUUAUGGAAUAUCCAUGAUACAAUCUUCUAACGACUCAAUCAUUUGUCUAUGCCCUGGGUUCAAUUCUUUCUUUUUAACUUAUACCGGAGUCUUCUAUGUCUGUAUGAUUGUCAACAUAUAAAACUUUAAACUCUUAAGUGCGUUUAUAACGUAACUAACUCUGGAUUAAUAAUGGAAUGAUUAUUUCCGUUCCUUCUUAGCUUUCUUUAAAUGUAAGCUAUUACUUUUCCUAGUCUUUCUACCCCCUUGUUGCGUCCAUACUUAGCUUAUCUUAGUGUCCAUAUUUGCCAGAGUUUUUAUACAACUCAUAUGAUAUCAAAUAUUACUUUUAAUUUUACUUCACUUCCAUUAGCCAUGGUAGGAGCCACUUUCCUUUGGAGUGCUUACAACGUUGUUAUGAGAUUGUUGUUACAUGUCCAUUUCCUUUUUAGGUCGUUGUGCUUAGGUUGAAGCCUUCUUCCUUACCUUCUCAGCUAGUAUUUCGUUGCAGUACUUAGGGAGAACCCUUGAUUCGUGUAAAGCUGUGAGCUCAUUACGGACUUUUUUGAUGUCCUUCCUUGCCUAUAAUCAUCGGUAGUUGCUUACCUCCAUGCCCUUGUGCUUGUAGGGUUGCUUCUGAACUGCUGUUUUGAUUUCCUUCCCAGUGGCACUUUCUUUUAUCCUCGUAAUACUCAUAAGGUACGUUUAACUACCCCGACUCCUAUUUGAAUAUAUCUCAAGUAUUACAAUGUUAUAACUGCGGGGCUGAAUUCACUAUAAUGGGUUGUACUAUAUUUAUAUUGCACAACUUGCUGAUUUGUCUGUAUCUUCUUGACUAGCCACAACUAGACUCUUCCUGAAUAAACUACUAAGUACUCGUUGGCCCAUUCUCAUGUCAUUACUCCACAUAAUCUUUCUGGGGUUAUUCCCUUUGUCUUUACUUAUAUCUUGCGCUGGCUCUUUAUUUUCAACAACAUCCCGGUCGAAACCCUUACUUCCUCUCCUUGACGUCAUGUUUGCAUAAUGUUCUGGAAUCAUAGCAUAUUUGUAGGAUUUGAAUAAGUGCAAUCUUAUCCCUUUCUCAUUUUUAUCGCAUUCUUCCUUUACCAUUCCAUAAUUACUAGAACCACUUAGUUCUGACUUAACGCCAAACACUCCAUAUUCCCCCCUUUAGGGAAGUACUCAGAUUUAGUGCUACGAUGAUCUAUGUAUAAAUGUUUUACCUCUUCACAUUUGGUGUCUUUUCACAUCAUUGAUGACCCUUACUCGCCUUGUGGUAAUCCUUCUGUACCAAGGAUAACAAAUUUCCUUACUCGCGAGGGUGACACUUCAUGUAACUGGCACAUACAGUCCCUUAAGCUUAACUUUGCUCAUAUUGCUUGCUUUAGGGAAGUGUCUUUCUAAAUGAUCAUUUUCUGAAUUUCUCAUGAAUCUUAUUCUAUUAUCCAUUCUAUUAUUGCCGGAACGCAAUGUGAAAUUCUCGUGAUGCCAACCAUUAUCAAAUCACUCAGUCCCUAAUUCAUGUUUAGUUUAUCUUGUUUAGCAAUCCAUACUAAUUUCUAUUACUUUGAGGUAUAACUUUUCCUUCUGUAAUUAUGUUAGAGUCACCAACUUAUUUUUCGAAAUGAGGAUGUCACUUCAUGACCUAUACUCUUUUGUUGCCUCAAGGCCUGUUACCUCUUGUAUUUGCUUUCCUUGUUUAUGGAUUCUAUAAUACUGUCAUCCUUUUGAUCUAACGUUGUCAUCCAUGUAUCACAUCUUACUCAUAAUGCUUUACUAACUCUCUUCUUAUUUUUCUGCUAACAUUUCUGUCUAUCACCUUAUUCUGAAAACUUUAACAAGACAUUCUUUUGGUUUUAGCUCCCUUUUGCUCCAUCCACUGGAUCUUCGAGCUGCCUAACAUUCUCUCUCUAAUAGGGGCGGGAGACACAAUAAGAUAAUAUUUAUCCCUUCCAGGCUUCCAGUGCCUAUCAUUGUAGUACUCAUAUAUUGUUGUACUAUUUUAGAGUGCACCAUCUGGGUGUCUCACAAGGAGAUCUAUUACCACAUUUUCAAUAUCCUUCGGAAAUGUCAACUAACACAAAUAAUCCAUUCACCAUUUUGGGUUACUCUAACCCCAAGCGGAUCCUGAUAUCUCGUCCUUUUGUUAAACUAAAAAUGCUUAUAUUGCUCUAGCUGAAUUGUAAAUACUGAUAAUCUUCAUUAACUGGGCACCUCGUACCCUUUUUUAUCUUGCUUCUUUUACUUGUUGAAACAUGUAUCUAUCUUCUGAAUCUCUCAUUCCUUAACGUAAUAGUGGAUAGACAUUCUUACCAUAGGGAUCCUUAUUAAGAAGCUUGCAAGUCUUAUUGCGCACAUGCCCUACUGAAAGCUUUACAUUUACUCAUCAUAAGCAUUAUGCAAAAUCGAGUUCCUCCGACUGAAUUCUUCCACUGAUAUAUCUCUUACGAACCGUCUUUUCGGAUGUAGGUAUCGCCGUAUUAUGAAUAAGAUAGUGUUUAGGAAACUGGGUUCUUACAACGAAGCUCUACCACACGAUCUAGAGUAAGAAGAAUAAGUGACAGUCCUAAAUGCCUUGUAGCCUCCUGCUUAUAAGUGUGGUGCACGACACACCCAUAAACAAGACUAUACUAGACACGACUUGUAGACUCCCUAGGACAGAACUACUCUGAUACCACUUUUGCCACGACCCAAAUCGAUGGGCCACGACGGGCACCUAGUACCUUACUCAACCGAGUACCAACAUAGCGUAUCUUUUCGUAUCAUACUAUCAUAUAUAAGUGAGCUGGAGAGGCUGCCAUGAAAUAGGUAGAAUACAACAUGUAAUACCAACUUAUACAUAAGACAUAUGGGCCUCUAAGACCAAAAUAACCACUCGUACACUAAGCAUAGGCCGACAAGGCCAUUCAAUCUUUUACGUACAUGAUAUUUGUCUACAAUACUCUAAGUAUACAUAAUUGUCAUAAAGGUCGGGACAGAGUCUCGCCAUACCGAACAAUAUACAUCUAAAUAAUAUUGACCAAACAAGCAACUCUGGAGCAAAUGGAGUGCACCAAGAUCUUCCACUAAGCUAAUCGCCUACAUAGAGGACUCUCGACCUGUCUAUCGAGACCUACGAGCAUGAAAUGCAGCGUCCCCAGAAAAAAGAGACGUCAGUACAAAUAACAUACCGAGUAUGUAAGGAAUGAAAAUGAGUAAAUAAUAGACAUCAGAGAAAUAUGGAGUACAAAACUUGACAUGUAUGUCUGCAUAGCUCUGUGAAUCAUUUCAUUUUUAUGAUAUUAUGCAUAUGCAUAUAAAUGUCAGGCCAUGCAUAGGAAUAUGCGUUCAUAACAUCAUCAAGCCUCUGAGGUCAUUCAUCGUAUCAUUUCGAUCACUGUGGGCAAAUUAUAAACCUAUACCAACUGAUCAAGUGGUGGUGCGUAUAUAAUACCAAAACCUUUUCCCAUAGCCCAUAUACACAUAUACGCGUACAUAAUGCCAUCUAGUCAUGGGUCAAUGUGCAUGUAUAAAUGCAUGAAAUGCAUAUGAAAUAUGUUAAUAAAAUCCCUCGGUACGUCAUAAGGCCAUUAUGCCUCUGAUUAAUAUCAUAAAAUAAACUUUAUCAACUUACGUAUUUUCUGAGACCCAUGAAUAGAUGAUAGAAUAAUAGGACACAUGGAGAAUCAAGAACAUAUGCACCUCUAAUAUUUCUAUGAAUAAAGUUAUUUUUGGAAGUUGUGCAUUUACUCGUUUAGUAUGUGUCGUAUAUAUCAUGCCAAAAGAAAUAAGGGAUAGCCUUAACAUACCUGAGCUGGUUCUCUUAACAAUUACUCUAACAUCGUUGAUUGCGAUAACACGUAACGGCGAAUUGAAGUAGGGAAAAAUUCGUAUGAUAUUGUUGAGAAAGAUUACACCGUACUCCCUUAAAAUAGUAAAAUCCCAUUGUCACACCUCCUUUUUCUACCCCGAAAGAGGUAUAGGGGAGUUUUUCCAAUUAGAUUGACAAAAAUCGAAAUAGGAUUAUUUAUUCAAAUUAAGAGUCGCCAAUUGGGAUAUUUUUUGGUGUCCCAAGACACCGGUUUAUAAUAUCGAGUCGAGGAAGUUUGACUCUGUUUUACAGUUCGCAGAAGAUAGAAAUCUGGGCAAGGAAUUUUGUUAAUCCGGGAGAAGGUGUUAGGCAUUCCUGGGUUCUGUGGUUUUAGCACAGUCGCUCAACUAUUAUUUUUUGGCUUAAUUAUCUGAUUAAUUACAUAUUUUAAACCUAUUGUGUAUUUUUACCCGUUUACUGCUUUUAAUUGUUUAUGGAAUUAUUCUAGAACAAGUUACAGUUGUUGUACACCUGUUUGUUUGGUACACAUUGCGAAUCGUAUCACGGUAACCGUACCCACAAUUUACACCAUAAUUAAAUUAUUAACAAUAUUAGUUGUUAUGGCCGGGUCAUAUAAAUGUACCCCCGGAUUUGGAAAUUAUGUACCAUAACAACGUCACAGGAACAGUAUCAAUAGCUAUGAUAAUUUUAUUAUAAACGCGCCUAAAGUGAACUACGAAUGUUCAAAGUUUUUCUACACUAGUUACGAAUGUUUUAAGUUUUUCCAUACUAGUUUUUGCAUUAAUAUAAAGGCCAUAGAUAGGUAUUCAUUUAUGAAUGAUAUGCCUCGAUUUAUUUCAAAAAAGAUUCAUACUCAACUACAGCAAACUAAGAAUUUUUAUAUUUAAAACUAAUUUGAAAUUAGCUAUCACAACUACGCUACGGGAACCGUACCCGUAGUUGUGGUGAUUCAAUUACGUGCUGAAAGCAAACUACGAAAGUUCAUACUUACCUCCUAAAUUAAUUCGCGGUUUAUUGACAGGCCACAUAUUAUAACUAAGGAGUCCAAAGUUGUGCAUGCUUUUAACCAUUGAAAUAUUGGGCCAUCAAGAGGCCUGUUAUAUAUGCAAAUCUUUGAGGAAGAUACGGGUUGCGGAUUUGGGCUCGAAAUUGAGCCCAAAAGUUAAAGAAAUCGGGAGCCAAAACCCAUUGAGCCUGGCUCCAAACACGCUGUCUCAUCUGGGCCAGAAAUGGGCCCAGUUUUUCCCAGCAUGAGAGCCUUUGAUAUUAAGGCCCACUUGAGACUUAACCUCUUCUAAAUCACAUGUAACACAAAAUGUUAUAAAAUUUUUGGAGAAAAAAAUCAAAGGCUGACCAAACAUAUUUUGCAUCUAAUUUAUCACAUGCCAUUAGUAACAAUAUAAAACUACUUAACCCAAAUUACCAAUUAAUUACAUUGAAAAAAUGUGGGUAAUUACUUCACUUGCAACCAGAGGUUCAAAUAUCACGUGACAAUUUAACAUUGAAUAUCCUUUGGAAUUGUAUGGGCUUAGACCCAAUUUACCAGAGACAAUGCACUAAUAUGAAAAAUGCCCAUGCCUUAUUAUCAAAUACUACAGUUGAACAAACUAAAUGCAAUGAAUUAAAACAUGGCCUUCGGAAGAAAGCUAAUCUCCAUAUAGCAAGGCAAUUUUGGAAAGGUGUGUGCGUAACAAACUGUCACAAAAGGAGUAGAAUCAUUUCCAUACAACUUGAUGUUUUCCUAAACCAUUAACCAACCCCUAAACCUUAUGACUCAUGCUAAGUAAAGCAGAAUGGACAUAGAAGGGACUAAAAGUGGAUCCUUAGGUCAGUAAUACACACAGUUCGUACGCAACACAAGGAUGAGGCAAAAAUCAGUGGAUACCAGGUUCUUUAUUUAAUGUUCUCAUAACUUCAAAUGUUAAACAGAGACAGAAUUUAGGAUAGAUUUAAACUUAUCUAGGUUGAACUUAAGACCAAAAUGAAUCCAAAAUAGCAGUUCCAGAACUUAACAGAACAAGGGAGCACAUGUCCACAACCAAACUUUCACUUAAAAUUCAACAAAACAAAAGAAAACUUAACAAAAAUAUUACAGGUGCACACUUAACAAAUUCAUCCUAUAUUACUAUUCAAACAGGGCUGAAUGAAAUCGCUAUACACGCCUCAGACGUUAAACAGAAUUGCAGAGAAGAUGAAGUGUAAGAAAGAAGCCACAGUCACAUGAAUCUUAUGUACCAAACACGAAUCUUCAUCUACUAGUAAAAGACAACACAUGAUAUUAACUAACCAAGAAAAGAGUUACAUGAGUUAACAAAACAUAAGGGCUAAUUACUGAUGACAUUGCUGUAUUAGUCUCAAAACAUUCAUAUCAUCACAUUUAACUUGCAGCUCAAGGUUUCAAGGUGGUACCUGGAUACAACAAGCACAACAAGAAAGUAUGUUUAGAAAUCAACAAGGUGUGAUGGACUCAGCAGCAAGGAACAACAGUAAUAAUCAAACCAACUCCAUUAUCAAAUCAUAGCUCAACUAAAGAACCCAAAAAAUCAAAAAGAAAAUGUUUUCCCAAACUUUGUAAAGAGUUAGUAAGUAGAGAAUUGAGCUGGAUUUUUUGAGAGGUUUUUAGAGUCUGUUCUCCGCCCCUUCAGUGAGGGGAAAGUUCUACGUAUAUAGGAGAUGAGAAAAAACCCAUGUGCUCUCCCUAAAUUUCAAGGAAAAAGAAUCUUUUCUAACCAAUUUUUACAGUUG
RNAcentral lists this long non-coding RNA (11612 nucleotides) under Nicotiana tabacum (common tobacco). RNAcentral's name for it is "long non-coding RNA (NTAB_LNC004251)". The record is from RNAcentral. Lineage: Eukaryota; Viridiplantae; Streptophyta; Magnoliopsida; Solanales; Solanaceae.